Long non-coding RNA from Lepisosteus oculatus (spotted gar), 676 nucleotides. RefSeq lists it as uncharacterized. The record is from RefSeq and is a predicted model, not a curated record. Lineage: Eukaryota; Metazoa; Chordata; Actinopteri; Semionotiformes; Lepisosteidae.
UUACACGUAUUAUUACAUUUUACAACUUAUGUACCAUGAUUUACUCGCUAUUGAAAAACCUAUGUUUCUGGUACAAGCCUUUUGACUUUUAUGACUUCUUUUGACUCCAGGUGGCUUGAAAAAUGGUUUCGAGGUAUUCUGAUGAAAUAUUUUAGCAAUGCCUCUCCUUGAAGAACAGCUACUGCGGGAUCCCCAACUAUACAGCCUGAGACGAUACUGAAGAAGAAAUGACCUCAUUUGCAAAAUAAAUUUGCACAAUAAGCAAGUCUUCCUGUCACAGAGUUCAAAGUAGUUCUGCUGUGCAAGAGAAACAAAAUUCCCUGACGCAAUGAAUGAAUUUGAAGACGACACUUUGACCAGAUCUGGAAGAGAAACUCGCCAAUAGUGAUGUGAAAUCUAAAAGGCUCAGGCUGAAGCCAAGGCUUGCCACUCACUGACAGAUCCGGAUGAUGAACGCCCACUACACCCAACACCGCCACAGAAAGAUCAAUCUAUAAGUGAAUGAGCUCAUCUGGCCCAUGCAUAAUGAAAAAGGAAGCCAUUCCAAUGGAAAGGUACUACAUCAAAUCCAUGAAUAAGAAUAAAAUGCCUUCAGAUUCAAGCAGACUGAUCAUUCAGCUUAUUGAUCUUUGGUCCAUGUGACUUACUUUAGUGAUUGUAAACCUCACAGAAAACU